RNAcentral lists this ribosomal RNA (255 nucleotides) under uncultured bacterium. RNAcentral's name for it is "partial 16S ribosomal RNA". It matches the Rfam family "Bacterial small subunit ribosomal RNA", at positions 524 to 776 of the family's 1533-position model. The record is from RNAcentral.
UACGUAGGGUCCGAGCGUUUGUCCGGAAUUACUGGGCGUAAAGAGCUCGUAGGUGGUUUGUCGCGUUGUUCGUGAAAACUCACAGCUCAACUGUGGGCGUGCGGGCGAUACGGGCAGACUAGAGUACUGCAGGGGAGACUGGAAUUCCUGGUGUAGCGGUGGAAUGCGCAGAUAUCAGGAGGAACACCGGUGGCGAAGGCGGGUCUCUGGGCCGAUACUGACGCUGAGGAGCGAAAGCGUGGGGGAGCGAACAGG